RNAcentral lists this transfer RNA (59 nucleotides) under Brachycentrus kozlovi. RNAcentral's name for it is "tRNA-Ser". Lineage: Eukaryota; Metazoa; Arthropoda; Insecta; Trichoptera; Brachycentridae. The record is from RNAcentral.
GAAAUAAAAUAAGUUAAACUUCUAAUUUAACAAUAUAGUGAUUAAUCAUUAAUAUUUCU